This is an RNA transcript of Cervus elaphus (red deer), 569 nucleotides long. It is a transcript of the gene named NADH dehydrogenase [ubiquinone] iron-sulfur protein 4, mitochondrial-like, with no coding region annotated. The transcript has a single exon. NCBI's taxonomy places the organism in Eukaryota, Metazoa, Chordata, Mammalia, Artiodactyla, Cervidae. The record is from RefSeq and is a predicted model, not a curated record.
AUGAAUUUGAGUAUAAUAGCCUUUCCUGAAGGCAAUUUGAGAAUCCAUCUAAAAAGCCUAAAAUUGGAGCUGAGGCAAGCGUUGUGGGGGAGAAGGGUAGUGACUGUAGCUGCCGUUUCUGUUUCCAAGGUUUCGACCAGGUCGUUGAGCACUUCCACGUGGAGGCUGGCACAAGACCAAACUCGAGACACGCAGCUCAUAACAGCUGAUGGAAUAUUGGAUAUUACUACUUUAACUGGUGUUCCAGAAGAGCAUAUCAAAACUAGAAAAGCCAGGAUCUUUGUUCCUGCUCACAAUAACAUGCAGUCUGGAGUAAACAACACAAAGAAAUGGAAGAUGGAGUUUGAUACCAGAGAGAGAUGGGAAAAUCCUUUGAUGGGUUGGGCGUCAACAGCUGAUCCCUUAUCCAACCUGGUUCUGACUUUCAGUAUAAAGAAGAUGCAGUUGCCUUUGCAGAAACAAAUGGAUGGAGCUAAGACGUUGAGGAGAGAAAGGUUCUGAAACCUAAGUCCAAGUCUUAUGGUGCAAACUCUUCUUGGAAUAAAAGAACAAGAGUAUCCACAAAAUAG